CCAUCCUGCUCCCACAGUACCACAUCCCAUGUUGUUCUAGGACCCGCCACCCUUUGGAGUGGCUUCUGGGAGAAGUUCAAAGGCAGGAAAGAAAUGUCAAUUCCUGCUUUACCUGAGAAGCCAUGAAGGGAUAACACGCACCUCUGCCUUUCUUUGUUUGGAUUUGCAGCCAGAGAAUGGGAGAUGAAGAAGCCAACAAACAAACAAAAUAAUCCAUGCUGGGAAAGUUAUUUUUAAAAACGAACACAAGGAUCCCAAGAUUGAGAAGAGAACCUGAAUGUUCUUGACUGAGUCAUGGCCUCCAGGACCACUGAUCAAGGCCACAGAUCAUUCAGCCUUGCAUGACCAUGGAAAGAGAUGUGGGAACAGAGCUGGUUCAAGAUGAAGCUGGUACCUUAAAAGCCAGUUCUUCACACAGUGACUCUCACAGUUUCCUCUGGUAGUUUCAGGGAGGUUAAUGGGCAGGUGAAGCUCACAAUGGGUGUAUGAAAGUGUGAGAGAGAGGGACAUGAGGAAACAAGGAAGGCAGUUAAUUUGGUCGUUGGGUCAAAAAAGAUGCCCUACUGUGAUCUUGGUGGCCACCGUGAGCUUUAGAAACUAUGUCUGCAUGUGAAAGCUGAACACUGAAGAAAAGUGAAAGGAAGAAAAUGGAUGCAUUCAAAACACAGUGGUAGAGGAGAGCUUUGUGAACCUGGACCUAUAGAAAGACAAAUGUAAGAGUCCUAGAUAAGAUCUGUCUACUUUGGGUACAUCACGAGAAGGCAAGACUCACUGGUGAAGACAGUCAUGCUAGGGAAAGCUGAAGAAAGAAGAAGAAAAGUCAAAAUAAGAAAUUGAUUGAUUCCAUAAAGGAAGCCCAAGCCUUGAAUUUUGAACAGCUAAGCAAGGAUGCCAUGGAUAGGACAUUCUGGAGGGCUUUCAGUCAUAAGGUUGCCAUAAGUUGGAGACAACUGGACAGCAAACAACAGCAAUAGUGGCUACUAACAAUGCCUGAGAAAUUAGGACUUUGUGAAUUAUGAUCUUAACUUGGGUUCAGUUGGUGUCCCCUGGACUAAUGGGCAGAGGUGAAAUUAAGAGGAGUUUUGAGCUGCGUAAUCUACCACUUCAAAGCCCUGUUGGCUGUCCUAUGACCACAGAGCAUCCUGAGAAUUUACCAGUGGCCUUUGGGGUUGAUGGAUCAUCCUAUAAGAAGAACUUCUCUCUGCCUCAUCCUAAUCUGCCUCAGAAAAAAAGGACAGAUUUAUGACUACAUGUAUGAACUUCCUCAAUGUGUAUGUGAAAAUGGUGAAAAAUGGCUUUGAGUAUACCAUAUAUCACCUGUAGGCUGUUUGGAUAAAUUCCCAGCCUCCUUCACCCUGCAGUUUUUUCUUAUUAAAAGACUUUAAAACUAUUCCAGCACAGAAACACCAUGAGACAAUAAUUACUCUGCUCAGGCAGGAAAUGUGACAACUGUUAGUGUGAG
Varanus komodoensis (Komodo dragon) is the source of this 1462-nucleotide long non-coding RNA. RefSeq lists it as uncharacterized. Lineage: Eukaryota; Metazoa; Chordata; Lepidosauria; Squamata; Varanidae. The transcript has 3 exons. The record is from RefSeq and is a predicted model, not a curated record.